GUACGCUGCGGCAGCAGGUGGACAAGCCGGCGGCCCAGCCCGAGCAGGCACUCGCCGAUUUCGUCGCCCCCCGUGAGACGGGCCUCGCCGACUUCAUCGGCGCGUUCGCCGUGACCACGGGCGUGGGCAUCGAGCGAAUGGUGGCGGAGUUCGAGCGCGAUCACGACGACUACAACUCGAUCAUGACCAAGGCCCUGGCCGACCGGCUGGCGGAGGCGCUCGCGGAGGCUCUGCACAAGCGGGCCCGCGAGGAAUGGGGAUACGGUCGCGGCGAAAGCAUCGCUCCGGAGGACCUCAUCCGCGAGCAGUACCGCGGCAUCCGCCCCGCGC
Molecule: unclassified non-coding RNA, 330 nt
Filed under: uncultured bacterium
Lineage: Bacteria
Description: contains 16S-23S intergenic spacer region
Source: RNAcentral